GAUAUCGAUGAUUGUGCUUCUGCCACUUGCCCUCAGCACAAAUUUUGUAGUGAUAAACUCCUGGGUUAUGAUUGUACUUGCUACGCUUGUGCUGAGAAAUGCCAAUAUCGCUCAAUUUUCAUAGAGGAACUUGGAACUUGUUAUAAGCUCAUUACUGGAGUGAUGACCCUCGAGGACGCAAUGCAACGUUGUACACGAGACUUCGUUAACAUGCAUUAUGUAAACCGUGACGAAGAAUUUCCAAUAUUGGCUUCCCAUUUACUGUCUGGCAUUUCGGAUUGGGCCUGGGUUGCACGUGGCAGAGCAUACAGUGGCUCUAUUAAUGGUUCCUGCCUUGGUAUGAGAUCGAUCCCUAAGUCGCCUGAGGCUAUGAGUCUGCCCUGUGAUUCCAAGCUCAGAUAUGCUGUUUGUGUUGCAAAGAAAUACUAUUA
Macrobrachium nipponense is the source of this 431-nucleotide long non-coding RNA. RefSeq lists it as uncharacterized. The transcript is spliced from 3 exons. Lineage: Eukaryota; Metazoa; Arthropoda; Malacostraca; Decapoda; Palaemonidae. The record is from RefSeq and is a predicted model, not a curated record.